UUCUCAUUUCUAUCUCUACCAGAGCUAGGUGUGUAGGGCUAAAAGCUGAGAACGCCAAAGACAUCUUCUGCAGCUCCUUUCUCUGUGCCUUGGACGACCCUCCUAGCUACAAAUUCUAGGCAGUCUGUUCUGCUUGGGCACGUGUUACUUUGUUCUCAAGCCCACCACACCAUGCAGACAUCACCACAAGGCCCAACAUCUCCUUCUGGAGACCAGCACGUCCUUCAGGGUCAAGGAACUGGUUUUGGAUCCAGAGGAACAACGCCCCUCAUGUUUGGAAUUCUACAGAAGAGAGGAAGAACUCAGACAGAAAGCUAAGAAAUGAACCAAUGUGAUGAAAAACAGAUGAAAGCCCCUUUCUUCUUAAAUGAGGACAUUGCAUUCAAAACAAGGAUGAACACUGUGUUGGGAAAUUUCAAGUUCUGCUUACUGUUUUGCUCUCGGGGCAAUUUUGAUAAAUAAGAUCCCAUUGUGAUUCAUCGGCUUUUCCAAAUUUGCUAUAAGCUCCUUUAGCUUGGUGGUGGUAGGUUGAUAGGUUAUAAAGAAAACAGGAAGAGAAAUCCAGGCUAAAAUGCUUUUUUAAGAGUUAGUGCCCUUAAGGGCACCACUUGAUUCAGCUUCUACAUCUUUCCAUAUAUCCUAUUAUUUCUGAACUCACUUUGCCUAUAUGUCCUCAAAAUACCUAAAAAUAUACAUUCCUUACUAGAUGGCACUAAAUUUCAUUUUAAAUUUUAAAAGAGGAAAAAAGUUAGUGCCUUUUAUCCUGAAGUCUGACAUUUCUUCAUGAAUCAGAAUAUCUGGAGUUUCUGUGGUCCAUCA
Long non-coding RNA from Cervus elaphus (red deer), 819 nucleotides. RefSeq lists it as uncharacterized. NCBI's taxonomy places the organism in Eukaryota, Metazoa, Chordata, Mammalia, Artiodactyla, Cervidae. The record is from RefSeq and is a predicted model, not a curated record. The transcript has 3 exons.